CCUACGGGAGGCAGCAGUGGGGAAUAUUGGUCAAUGGACGAGAGUCUGAACCAGCCACGUAGCGUGAAGGAUGACUGCCCUAUGGGUUUUAAACUUCUUUUAUAUGGGAAUAAAAUGUUCCACGUGUGGGAGUUUGUAUGUACCAUAUGAAUAACGAUCGGCUAACUCCGUGCCAGCAGCCGCGGUCAUACGGAGGAUCCGAGCGUUAUCCGGAUUGAGUGGGUUUAAAGGGAGCGUAGGUGGAUUGUUCAGUCAGUUGUGAAAGUUUGCGGCUCAACCGUAAAAUUGCAGUUGAAACUGGCAGUCUUGAGUACAGUAGAGGUGGGCGGAAUUCGUGGUGUAGCGGUGAAAGGCUUAGAUAUCACGAAGAACUCCGAUUGCGAAGGCAGCUCACUGGACUGCAACUGACACUGAGGCUCGAAAGUGUGGGUAUCAAACAGGAUUAGAUACCCGUGUAGUC
Molecule: ribosomal RNA, 460 nt
Filed under: uncultured bacterium
Lineage: Bacteria
Description: partial 16S ribosomal RNA
Rfam family: Bacterial small subunit ribosomal RNA
Source: RNAcentral